CUACGGGAGGCAGCAGUGGGGAAUCUUGGACAAUGGGGGCAACCCUGAUCCAGCGACGCCGCGUGGGUGACGAAGGCCUUCGGGUUGUAAAGCCCUUUUGUCGGGGACGAUGAUGACGGUACCCGGCGAACAAGCACCGGCUAACUCCGUGCCGGCAGCCGCGGUAAGACGGAGGGUGCUAGCGUUGUUCGGAAUUACUGGGCGUAAAGGGCGCGUAGGCGGCCAGAUCAGUCGGGUGUGAAAGCCCGGGGCUCAACCCCGGAACGGCACCCGAGACGGUUUGGCUGGAGACCGGGAGAGGAGGGUGGAAUAGCCAGUGUAGAGGUGAAAUUCGUAGAUAUUGGCUGGAACACCGGUGGCGAAAGCGGCUCUCUGGGCUGACCUUGACGCUGAGGCGCGAAGGCGUGGGAAGCGAACGGGAUUAGAUACCCCGGUAGUCC
RNAcentral lists this ribosomal RNA (440 nucleotides) under uncultured bacterium. RNAcentral describes it as "bacterial SSU rRNA". It matches the Rfam family "Bacterial small subunit ribosomal RNA", at positions 339 to 796 of the family's 1533-position model. The record is from RNAcentral.